AUUCCAGCCCCAAUAGCGUAUAUUAAAGUUGUUGCGGUUAAAAAGCUCGUAGUUGGAUUUCUGUCGAGAACGGCCGGUCCGCACUAUGUGCGUGUAUCUGGUUCGGUCUUGGCAUCCUCUUGGAGAACGUAACUGCGCUUGAUUGCGUGGUGCGGUAUUCAGGACUUUUACUUUGAGGAAAUUAGAGUGUUCACGGCAGGCAAGCGCCUUGAAUAUAUUAGCAUGGAAUAAUAAUAUAGGAUCUCGGUUCUAUUUUGUUGGUUUCUAGAAUCAGGAUAAUGAUUAAUAGGGAUAAUUGGGGGCAUUUGUAUUAACGCGUCAGAGGUGGAAUUCUUGGAUUGCGUUACGACAAACUACUGCGAAAGUAUUUGCCAAGGAUGUUUUCAUUG
Molecule: ribosomal RNA, 389 nt
Filed under: Syndiniales sp.
Lineage: Eukaryota; Dinophyceae; Syndiniales
Description: partial small subunit ribosomal RNA
Rfam family: Eukaryotic small subunit ribosomal RNA
Source: RNAcentral